Molecule: transfer RNA, 73 nt
Filed under: Puccinia triticina 1-1 BBBD Race 1
Lineage: Eukaryota; Fungi; Basidiomycota; Pucciniomycetes; Pucciniales; Pucciniaceae
Description: tRNA-Thr (AGT) (tRNA-Thr-AGT-3-1)
Rfam family: tRNA
About the family: Transfer RNA (tRNA) molecules are approximately 80 nucleotides in length. Their secondary structure includes four short double-helical elements and three loops (D, anti-codon, and T loops).
Source: RNAcentral
GCCUCAGUAGCCCAGUGGUAGAGCGUUUGCCUAGUAAGCAAAAGGUCCAGUAGUUCGACUCACUGUUGAGGCA